UUUUAUGGAGAGUUUGAUCCUGGCUCAGGAUGAACGCUGGCGGCGUGCCUAAUACAUGCAAGUCGAGCGAACGGACGAGAAGCUUGCUUCUCUGAUGUUAGCGGCGGACGGGUGAGUAACACGUGGAUAACCUACCUAUAAGACUGGGAUAAC
RNAcentral lists this ribosomal RNA (153 nucleotides) under Staphylococcus aureus. Its description in RNAcentral is "partial 16S ribosomal RNA". It matches the Rfam family "Bacterial small subunit ribosomal RNA", at positions 1 to 147 of the family's 1533-position model. Lineage: Bacteria; Bacillati; Bacillota; Bacilli; Caryophanales; Staphylococcaceae. The record is from RNAcentral.